AACGUAGGAUCCGAGCGUUAUCCGAAUUUACUGGGCGUAAAGCGCGUGUAGGCGGUUCGGUAAGUUGGAUGUGAAAUCUCCCGGCUCAACUGGGAGAGGUCGUUCAAUACUGUCGGACUAGAGGAUGGUAGAGGGAGGUGGAAUUCCCGGUGUAGUGGUGAAAUGCGUAGAUAUCGGGAGGAACACCUGUGGCGAAAGCGGCCUCCUGGACCAUUCCUGACGCUCAGACGCGAAAGCUAGGGUAGCAAACGGG
RNAcentral lists this unclassified non-coding RNA (253 nucleotides) under uncultured Anaerolineales bacterium. RNAcentral describes it as "contains 16S-23S intergenic spacer region". It matches the Rfam family "Bacterial small subunit ribosomal RNA", at positions 524 to 776 of the family's 1533-position model. Lineage: Bacteria; Bacillati; Chloroflexota; Anaerolineae; Anaerolineales. The record is from RNAcentral.